UCCUCUGUCGGCGUGGAGGACUGCUGGCACGGAACUCUGGGGCUCGGGCCCUACCCGAUGGGUCACAAAGAGGAUCAUAGAGACGAGAAGACAGAGGGAAUUCCAGUCCAGUGUAACAAAACGAAGCAAGAGAAAAGAAACUAAGGCAGUGUUUUGAAGGAAGAUAUCUUCCUUGGGGCGUCAUCCGCUGUGCUGAGUCCCGCUAAGCAGUCCUUGACGUGGCCUGCUUUCUCCAUUUCCCAUCUGAUGUUUCUGCCCAGACCCCCGGGAGCCCGGGCCUGGCCUCUAGCUGGCUCACAAGACGUUCUGGACUGAAGGGAGAGGCACUUAGGCAAAAGUCUCGGUUGAAGCAACUGGGGCCAAUAAGGACCAGAAACGGAUGAGAUGCUCCAGCAAGAAGCAGAGGGCCUGAAAGAGAAAUCUGGACCCCAGACACAGGAAGAAAGGCAGAAGACAGCCAGCGUCCAGGCACUUCAAAGAAACCCACUUGGAAGCCAGGACUUGGGGAGCUAGGCAAGGAUGUCUCACAAACGCAGUUCCCCAAGUGUGUUUCUGCAAAACUCCUUGAAGGUUCUGAGGGGGGCGAACAGGAGAGAACUUCCAGACGAGGAGCCCUGGUGUUAUGAGCCACUGCAUUUUCACACGCCCUCCCGAGUGUCUGCCUCUGAAGACACUGCCUUGUGCACUCUCUGUUGAUGAAGGGCUCUUCCCGCCCCUGGGCCUUACUUACACAGUUCACAGUGAGAGGCGCGACACAGGAUUCACCGUGAUCCUGAGCAAGAGGGACUUUGCAGAUGUGAUUACGUUAAGGAUCUUGGGAUGGGGAGACCCUGGAUUAUCUGGGUGAGCCCAGUGUAAUCACAAGGGUCCUUCUAAGAGGAAACCGGAGGAGACAGAGGAGAAAAAGGCAAUGUGGCAACAGAAACAGAGAUCGGAGCGAUAUGGCUGGAAGCCAAGGAAUGCCAGCAAACUCUAGAAGCUGCAAGAGACAAGAAACGGAUUCUCCCCUGGAGCCUCCCCAAGGAAGGAGCCCUGUCGACACCUUGACUUUAGCACAGUCAGCCUGCUUUUGGACUUUGACCUCCGGAAAUACAGUCCUGAGACCCAAGUCAUCUGGCUUCGUAGAGGACCAUGGACCAAGCAACCCACGCAAUCAAGAAAAUUUCUAGAGCAAGGGUUUGGAGAUGGGAGAGCCCCAUGCCUAUUCAGCUCUUUGAAAGCCAGUGAAUCAUAAUCAGGAGCAAGGGAACUGAGAAUAGAGAGAAUCCACUCUUUCCAGUGUUUACUUUUAGCAAGGCAAACAUAUAAAUUCUAUCAUAUGAGAAUAGCGGGACACAGACUUUGGUUCAAAUCUUGAUUCCACUACCUUCUUGAACAUUAUCGUUUAAACUUCAUGAGGUUCAGUUUCCUAAUCUGUAAAGGAGAUAGUAAUACUUCACUGCAAGGUUGAGGUGGGGAUUAAAUGAGAUAAUAUACGUGGACGGGACCCCUGGG
Molecule: long non-coding RNA, 1494 nt
Organism: Prionailurus viverrinus (fishing cat)
Lineage: Eukaryota; Metazoa; Chordata; Mammalia; Carnivora; Felidae
Exons: 6
Source: RefSeq, a predicted model, not a curated record